This 314-nucleotide ribosomal RNA is filed under the name uncultured bacterium. Its description in RNAcentral is "bacterial SSU rRNA". It matches the Rfam family "Bacterial small subunit ribosomal RNA", at positions 29 to 330 of the family's 1533-position model. The record is from RNAcentral.
AGCGAACGCUGGCGGCGUGCUUAACACAUGCAAGUCGAACGUGAAAGUAGCAAUAUGAGUAAAGUGGCGUACGGGUGAGUAACACGUGGGUAAUCUACCAAAGAGUCUGGAAUAACCGGCCGAAAGGCUGGCUAAUACUGGAUAGAUCAAGCGCAUUAUAAAAGGUGCGAUUGGGAAAGGGAGCUCGUAAGAGCCUUCGUCUUUUUGAUGAGCCCGCGUCUGAUUAGCUAGUUGGUGAGGUAAUGGCUCACCAAGGCGACGAUCAGUAGCUGGUCUGAGAGGAUGAUCAGCCACACUGGAACUAGAAACACGGU